ACAUGUGCGCACAUCUUUACAGCAAUAGUUGAUAGUUGAAUAAGUGAGCAGUAGGUAAUACUACAGUGUCACAGCUAUCACGCGAGUUAUAAACUAUUAUACAUUUGUGAAUAUCCAGCGAUGCGUUUGAGUUUACAGUUAUUCGUAGCCUGUAUUGUGCUUGGGACUAUUGCGCAGUGUCAGGACUGUAAAGUUGGCGGAACACUGUGUGCUGAUCACGAGCAAUGCUGUGGCGGAUGCUGUUUUAACGGAGAAUGCAUUGACACUUAUCGAUCAUGUCUCGAAGAUUCGAAUGUGUGCAAAGACCAUGUCUGCAAAGGUGAAGAAAACUGCGUACCCUACAAGCCGGCGAAAUGCAUUGGAUGCGAUCCACUGCCGCUAUGUCGUACAAAAAGAUAAAUAUGCUACUGAAUUGAAAGAUUUAUUGAAAAAUGGACGCCCACUGAAAUAUUGUAUUUAUUUGAUUUGUUUACAUAUUGAAUUAAGAAAUUACAACUAAUAUUUAUUAAUAAUUAUUAAUAACAGAACAUUGUUGAUGAAUAAUUCCAGACAAUUUCGAAAAGCCAACAAAUAAAUUGUCUUGGUUUAA
Nymphalis io (European peacock) is the source of this 589-nucleotide long non-coding RNA. RefSeq lists it as uncharacterized. The transcript is spliced from 3 exons. Lineage: Eukaryota; Metazoa; Arthropoda; Insecta; Lepidoptera; Nymphalidae. The record is from RefSeq and is a predicted model, not a curated record.